Alligator mississippiensis (American alligator) is the source of this 4461-nucleotide long non-coding RNA. RefSeq lists it as uncharacterized. Lineage: Eukaryota; Metazoa; Chordata; Crocodylia; Alligatoridae. The transcript has 4 exons. The record is from RefSeq and is a predicted model, not a curated record.
CUGGCAGACUAUUGUUCUGUCCUGGGAAAGGACGAUGAGAUGAGAGCUGUUUCCACUCCCUGCUCCAGGGCCCGGGUUGAGGUCUCAGAUGUGAAGCCCUGGAGUGAAAUGUCCCACAGGAGCCACCCCUGGGCCUGAGUUUGGGGCCUUACUUUGCAGAGGUUUGGCAGACAAGCUCACAGGCUUUACUCAUGUUUGGGGAGGAAAGAAGUGAUGCCAGAGUGAAGUAGCAAGAAGAAGAAUCGGUUGUGUUGAGUCAUGUCUGCUGCAGCUGUUUGUGGACUGGAUUGAAGCAGAAGUCGGGUCAGUUUUCAUCUGCCCGGACAAAAGCAACUACAAUAUGUAUGGUUCCCACUGCCCCACCUCUUGCUCUGCAGCCUCCUCGGUGGGCAGUGCUGAGGGCUGCGUCUGCCUGGCUAACCUCAUCUCCAGUGGAACCGACUGCAUCCUGGCCUCAGCUUAUGGCUGCCUUGGCCCAGCAGCACCUACCACCCGGUGGGAGACGCCCGAUUUGAGGAGGAGUGCUUUGAGUGCUGUACGUGCCGUGGUCCCGGGGACCUGACAUGCAAGCACAGCCAGAGCCCGCCUUCAAGGACUGUUGGUUCCAGGACAGCAAGAAGGACUGCCAGCCCCUUGGUGACUGUGCCUGGCUCUGGGGUGGGGAGAACAGGGCCCGGGAUGCAGACAGCUCCCCACAUGGCUAAACCAUGGCAGAAAGCUGCAUAUAGUAGCAUCUCCAGCUACCUUGCCGCUAGCAUUUUAUGUGUACAUUUUACACCUAAAAUGUAUGACUUGACUUUUACCCUGACCAUGGAGGAUUUUCUGUUCAGCCUGUUUUGCACAAACUAUUCGUGCACCUUUAGGACAAAGCUUGUAACAGUAUGUGCAAGAAAUAUAUUCCGGCUUCAGGAAUGCAAAUGCUGCAGAGACGAGUGCAUGGGCUGAAUGUAUGCCUUUGCAUCGGUGAGAUAUACCGUACCCAGCACAGAAAAGUGAGCUGGCCAUAGACUUUUUAACACCUUCUGUGGGAUGCUUGUACUAGUAUAAGGAUUUAGUCCACAUAUUUCUUAUACAAAACACAGUGUGUGUCACUUUUCUUUUUACAAUAAGAAAACAUUUGUCUAUCUGCUUUAUAUUUUAGUGGGUACAAUGUAAAGGUGGUUUUCUCUCAAAAAUGAAAGGUCAGAAAGAAGGGGAGGAGGAAGGGAAAGGAGGCACUGACAGAGUUGAGUGAGCUUUACCCUUCCUUUGCUUGCAACCAGUUGCUGAGGCUCUCAUGUCUGCGUUGUCUUGUGUUUCAGAGCAUGCUUUCAGAUGAAAGAAGCCAGAAAGCUCUCGACCAAAGACUGGAGGUACAAUGCAUGUUAUUCAUGCUCCAUGUGUCAACUUGGAGCAGAAAGUGAAAGCUACCCGCUAGCAGCAGAGGCACAAUGCCCAUGGGUCCCUACUCCAUUUUAAUCAGCCCUAACAUCAAGGCUACACACAGUCAGUUCAAACCUCUAUCCAUCACCGCCAAUUCCAAGCAGUCUCGUCUACCCUAGCACUAAGGCUGCACCAACCUACUCCACCCAUGUUGUCACAGCCACUAGUCCCACCAAACGUACACCACGCUACCUCCUAGCAGUAGCCGUCCAAGCCGACUACUACUUCACCCCCUGCCCUGUAGCCAUCAAAUCCCAACACCCUGACCUCUCCAACCCUCCACAUUAUACGCAACCAAGCUAAUGCCACUCUAUGCUUCACCCUCUAAAUGAGGCUUCUGAAUGUCCCUAUGCUUCUACCAACUCCAGCCUCAUGAAAAGGGCAGUCUCUACCCAAAGGACAAAAAGAAAGUAUAGGGAAAAAGAAGCCAAGAUUAGAAUAAAGACAGUAGAGGCAAGAUAGGAGGCAAGGCUGCAGGAGGAGAGUCGAGACAAGGCAGUGAGGCAGGAGUGGGGAAAUCGGGACAGGGAAGAAGAGGAUUCACGAGGCUGACUGGCACAUAAUGCAUUAAGGGGGGUCCCCAAGCAGGGCCAGGGGACAACAGCCCUGGGGCAGAGACAGUUGAGCAGUAGAUGGGGGGCAAGGAGGAACAGGGAUGACUUGACAUGGCGUAGCCUAGGCUACGGUGCAGACCUCCCUACUCGGCACUUGGUGCUUUGGGCUGUGUAGCUGCUGGAGCCCCACAAGGACAGCUGUGGGUGAUCCUCCCUUCACACUAACUGGGCCAAGUGGCAUUUCCCUUGGGUUGCCUUGUGAGUAGCAAAGACAACUGUUUUUGGUUUUGCUGAAUGUGCCAUAGUUAGGGUGGCCUUUAGUUGGUGCUGUUGAGCUUGUCCUGUUUCCAUGGACUAUGGACGUGUUAUAUUUGGCAAUGGGUAGGGGGAGGAGAGUCUGCAAAUGUUAGAGCAGCCAGUCAGAACUUACUUUCUUGGUUUUCUGUCUGGGGCUAGAGCCAGGGCGAGGAAGGUGCUGUUCAGCCCCAGAAUCUGAACCCGGUCCUCAGUGCUGACAGAAAGUUACGCUUGCUUUGCAUCCCCUCUUGGUCUCUCACCCAGUGAUCCUGACCAACUUAAAGGCUUGGAUGCUUUGGCCUUUGCUCAGUGCUGCUGCCCUUGGGAGUGGGAGCUUUAUUCAGAUGCUACUGUGUGCCCCCCAGGGGUUCAUUGGUAAAGCUCUGGAAAGAGGUGUCCCGUGGUACCAUCUGUGUGGUAUUCCUAAUAACCCUUCUUUCACAGCAAAUAGCUGAUAGCUCGCUAUAGUCAAGUUGGGCAGGUUCGACCAUUUACUCACAGUGACAUACUGUAUGGUGGCUCCAUCCUGCUUCUGAACCCAAGUUAAUCCAGAUGGAGAAAGAUAGUUGUGAUCCUUAUUUCCAUCGGAGUCUGCCAAAAAGCGGUCAGGCAGGCACCCCUCUUAUGCAUUAGGAAUAGAAAAUGUUGCCACUUUGCAUGGUUCUGGCCGUUCCUCCUGAGUCUGUAUUUAGGAGGGACUUGGGGCUAUGUUGAAAUGCCACCAACACUCGAAGCUCAGGCUAUCAGUGUAAUGGCCUGAAUUUGGGCUGGUUUGAUUUCCCAAACCAUUUGUGGUGUUACGUAAAACUUGUGAGCACUGUUCUUUAUAACAUGCAGUAUAUUUGGUGAUCUUUAAGCUGUUACUUUUUUCUAGGAUUCUGUUCUGCUGAUUUCCUUGUCCUUGGAGGGUAUGUCCUCGCACCUUUUGGCUUCCUGCUUCCAUUUUUAUGUACGGAUUGUAUUGUAUCAUUAGAGGGCCAAAGAUCAGGGCCCCUUUCUGGUAGGCCCCGUAGAUGUAGUUGUCAUAGUAGCUAGUGUCUCCAAGAGAAGGGUUUUUUUUGGUCCGUUCCGGUUUCCUCAGUACUGCCUGUGCGAGCUCCUGUUCAACUUGUACAAGCACUAGUGCUGAGCAGUGGGGAUCCAAUAUCUGAAAAAGUCUACUCGCCCUUGCACUGCUGAAUAGCGGAAACACCGGGUUUGGUUUUCAUUCUCAUUGUUUGCAAGGAAGACUGGAGAAUGGAUCGGUGGGAUGGAGGUGUUUUUUCCUCAAAGAAGUUCAGCCUUUCUGACAGUCAGGUUAUUGGAAGCUGGACGUGGCAGUAUGUCUUGACAGUUUUGUAUAUGGGCCUUAAAGGGCACCCUUUGGUCAUGUAGAGCCUGUCCUCUGGAACAACCUUCUUGCACCCCUGCUCCUCAGCAACAUUUUCAGUUUCAUGAGUAGCCCUGACACUAUGGCCUGAAUAUCUCUCCCUUGAUUUGUAUUUCUUUUAAAAAAUCCUUAUGUAUUGGAGCACUGGACUUAACUGCUUUUAGCAGUAGGUCUGGGAGGGUGUUAUAAUUGGGUCUACUUGAGCAGCUCACACAUAGUAUGGUCAUUAGUGGUAUUUAUUAUGGGGAGACCGAGACAUGCCUUGCACUGGUUUUGGAAAGUGAGGAGUAUGGUUUUUGAAAGCUUACCUGUAAGAUUUCUGCUGUUUUUCACAGAACUGUCAGGCUUUGUGUCCAGCUCUAGUUAUUUCAGUGCAGAGUUGCAUUAUGCUGGGAGUCUAAGGAGGAUAUGGUACUUAGGGAGGGUGAUAUUUAGCAUAUAGGGCAAAUGGCAUAUGUUGGUAGAUCACACCUUUUACUGGACUACACUCUGGUUGUAGGUCCAGGAAGCAGGAUGGCUGUUGUGAGAGACAGCAUGCCUGGGCCUCAUGUUGCUGCAUCACUGCAUCUCUCUUGUCUGUUAUAGCUAGUCAGUAAUGUCCUUGUUGUACCCACAUUUCUUAAGCAGUAUGCCCCACUUUUUGAAAAAGCUAGGUAUCACUAUGAAAUGAUUGCUUUUCGGGUGGAUGUGUAAGACCCCUGACACUUGAUGGAAUGAAUUGGUUGCCUAGCGUUUCCUAUACCCAGAGCCAUAAACACCUGCAUUAUUUAUUAAAUAAUUAGGCACUGAAUUAUUUAUUAAAUAUGUACCAUAAACAUA